RNAcentral lists this ribosomal RNA (542 nucleotides) under Saccharomyces x bayanus. Its description in RNAcentral is "Saccharomyces bayanus partial large subunit ribosomal RNA". It matches the Rfam family "Eukaryotic large subunit ribosomal RNA", at positions 93 to 655 of the family's 3401-position model. The record is from RNAcentral. Lineage: Eukaryota; Fungi; Ascomycota; Saccharomycetes; Saccharomycetales; Saccharomycetaceae.
GUGAAGCGGCAAAGCUAAAUCGAAAUCUGGUACCUCUGGUGCCGAGUCGUAAUUNGGAGAGGGCAAUUUGGGACCGUUCCUNGUCUAUGUUCCUCGGAACAGGACGUCAUAGAGGGUGAGAAUCCCGUGUGGCGAGGAGUGCGGUUCUAGUAAAGUGCCUUCGAAGAGUCGAGUUGUUUGGGAAUGCAGCUCUAAGUGGGUGGUAAAUUCCAUCUAAAGCUAAAUAUUGGCGAGAGACCGAUAGCGAACAAGUACAGUGAUGGAAAGAUGAAAAGAACUUUGAAAAGAGAGUGAAAAAGUACGUGAAAUUGUUGAAAGGGAAGGGCAUUUGAUCAGACAUGGUGUUUUGCGCCCUCUGCUCCUUGUGGGUGGGGGAAUCUCGCAGUUCACUGGGCCAGCAUCAGUUUUGGUGGCAGGAUAAAUCCGUAGGAAUGUAACUUGCUUCGGGAAGUAUUAUAGCCUAUGGGAAUACUGCCAGCUGGGACUGAGGACUGCGACGUAAGUCAAGGAUGCUGGCAUAAUGGUUAUAUGCCGCCCGUCUU